GCUAAUUUAGUUUAAAAAAAACGUUACAUUGUGGAUGUAAAGAUAAAAUUUAUUUUAAUUGGUU
Molecule: transfer RNA, 64 nt
Filed under: Mactra antiquata
Lineage: Eukaryota; Metazoa; Mollusca; Bivalvia; Venerida; Mactridae
Description: tRNA-His
Rfam family: tRNA
About the family: Transfer RNA (tRNA) molecules are approximately 80 nucleotides in length. Their secondary structure includes four short double-helical elements and three loops (D, anti-codon, and T loops).
Source: RNAcentral